AACCACAGCCAUAUCACCCUGCAGGCGAAGACCGGUUACUCACUGAAGCUAAGCAGGGCUGAGCCUGGUCAGUACCUGGAUGGGAGACCACUAGGGAACACUAGGUUGCUGUUGUAA
This is a non-coding RNA of Danio rerio (zebrafish), 117 nucleotides long. Lineage: Eukaryota; Metazoa; Chordata; Actinopteri; Cypriniformes; Danionidae. The record is from Rfam.